UACGAGGGGGGCAAGCGUUGUUCGGAAUUACUGGGCGUAAAGGGCUCGUAGGCGGCCAACUAAGUCAGACGUGAAAUCCCUCGGCUUAACCGGGGAACUGCGUCUGAUACUGGAUGGCUUGAGAUUGGGAGAGGGAUGCGGAAUUCCAGGUGUAGCGGUGAAAUGCGUAGAUAUCUGGAGGAACACCGGUGGCGAAGGCGGCAUCCUGGACCAACACUGACGCUGAGGAGCGAAAGCCAGGGGAGCAAACGGG
RNAcentral lists this ribosomal RNA (253 nucleotides) under uncultured bacterium. RNAcentral describes it as "partial 16S ribosomal RNA". It matches the Rfam family "Bacterial small subunit ribosomal RNA", at positions 524 to 776 of the family's 1533-position model. The record is from RNAcentral.